Molecule: ribosomal RNA, 232 nt
Filed under: bacterium
Lineage: Bacteria
Description: partial 16S ribosomal RNA
Rfam family: Bacterial small subunit ribosomal RNA
Source: RNAcentral
ACUUACAAGAGUUUGAUCCUGGCUCAGGAUGAACGUUGGCGGCAGGUUUGACACAUGCAAGUCGAACGGUAGAGUGGAGCUUGCUCUGCUUGAGAGUGGCGAACGGCUGAGUAACACGUAGGAACGUACCCCACAGACAGGGAUAACAGACCGAAAGGGCUGCUAAUACCUGAUAUAUCCUUCGGGAGGAAAGGUCCGCCGCUGUGGGAGCGGCCUGCGGCGUAUUAGGUUG